AGUGAACGCUGGCGGUAGGCCUAACACAUGCAAGUCGAACGGCAGCACAGGAGAGCUUGCUCUCUGGGUGGCGAGUGGCGGACGGGUGAGGAAUACAUCGGAAUCUACUCUGUCGUGGGGGAUAACGUAGGGAAACUUACGCUAAUACCGCAUACGACCUACGGGUGAAAGCAGGGGAUCUUCGGACCUUGCGCGAUUGAAUGAGCCGAUGUCGGAUUAGCUAGUUGGCGGGGUAAAGGCCCACCAAGGCGACGAUCCGUAGCUGGUCUGAGAGGAUGAUCAGCCACACUGGAACUGAGACACAGUCCAGACUACUACGGGAGGCAGCAGUGGGGAAUAUUGAACAAUGGGCGCAAGCCUGAUCCAGCAAUACCGCGUGGGUGAAGAAGGCCUUCGGGUUGUAAAGCCCUUUUGUUGGGAAAGAAAGCCAGCUGGCUAAUACCCGGUUGGGAUGACGGUACCCAAAGAAUAAGCACCGGCUAACUUCGUGCCAGCAGCCGCAGUAA
RNAcentral lists this ribosomal RNA (506 nucleotides) under uncultured bacterium. RNAcentral describes it as "partial 16S ribosomal RNA". It matches the Rfam family "Bacterial small subunit ribosomal RNA", at positions 29 to 523 of the family's 1533-position model. The record is from RNAcentral.